UAAUACAUGCAAGUCGAACGCGUCUCCGUUAAUGAUUUUAGGUGCUUGCACUUGAAAGAUUUAACAUUGAGACGAGUGGCGAACUGGUGAGUAACACGUGGGUAACCUGCCCUUGAAGUAGGGGAUAACACUUGGAAACAGGUGCUAAUACCGUAUAACAACCAAAACCACCUGGUUUUGGUUUAAAAGACGGCUUCGGCUGUCACUUUAGGAUGGACCCGCGGCGUAUUAGCUUGUUGGUAAGGUAACGGCUUACCAAGGCGAUGAUACGUAGCCGACCUGAGAGGGUAAUCGGCCACAUUGGGACUGAGACACGGCCCAAACUCCUACGGGAGGCAGCAGUAGGGAAUCUUCCACAAUGGACGAAAGUCUGAUGGAGCAACGCCGCGUGAGUGAUGAAGGGUUUCGGCUCGUAAAACUCUGUUGUUGGAGAAGAACAGGUGUCAGAGUAACUGUUGACAUCUUGACGGUAUCCAACCAGAAAGCCACGGCUAACUACGUGCCAGCAGCCGCGGUAAUACGUAGGUGGCAAGCGUUGUCCGGAUUUAUUGGGCGUAAAGCGAGCGCAGGCGGUUUUUUAGGUCUGAUGUGAAAGCCUUCGGCUUAACCGGAGAAGUGCAUCGGAAACCGGGAGACUUGAGUGCAGAAGAGGACAGUGGAACUCCAUGUGUAGCGGUGAAAUGCGUAGAUAUAUGGAAGAACACCAGUGGCGAAGGCGGCUGUCUGGUCUGUAACUGACGCUGAG
This 745-nucleotide ribosomal RNA is filed under the name Lentilactobacillus buchneri. RNAcentral's name for it is "bacterial SSU rRNA". It matches the Rfam family "Bacterial small subunit ribosomal RNA", at positions 49 to 750 of the family's 1533-position model. Lineage: Bacteria; Bacillati; Bacillota; Bacilli; Lactobacillales; Lactobacillaceae. The record is from RNAcentral.